UACGUAGGGACCGAGCGUUGUCCUGAAUCAUUGGGCGUAAAGAGCGUGUAGGCGGCCAACUAAGUCCUGCGUGAAAUCUCGGGGCUCAACCCCGAGCGGUCGUGGGAAACUGGUUGGCUAGAGUGCGGGAGAGGAGAGUGGAAUUCCUGGUGUAGCGGUGAAAUGCGCAGAUAUCAGGAAGAACACCCGUGGCGAAGGCGGCUCUCUGGAACGCAACUGACGCUGAGACGCGAAAGCGUGGGGAGCAAACAGG
Molecule: ribosomal RNA, 253 nt
Filed under: uncultured bacterium
Lineage: Bacteria
Description: partial 16S ribosomal RNA
Rfam family: Bacterial small subunit ribosomal RNA
Source: RNAcentral